UUCCCAUUAUAUAAUAAUUAACAUGUUAUUACAAGAAAUUGAAUAUAGUUACCUGUGCUAUACAGUAGUAAAACUUUAAAGAAAGCUAAUUCAAAACAUUUUCAGACAAAAGCAGUAUUUGCCACUCCAAACAGGUAAUACAGGAUGUCCUGAGGCAGAAGGAAAAUGAUCUGAAAUGGAAAUGCAAGAAGGAACACUGACCAAAGAUAGUGGUCAACGAUGUUGGUGAAAGAUUCUGAGGCUUUGAAAAUUGUCUCUAACCAUUGGAGGAACAGUUGAAUAUUUGAAGACUCUCACUUGGGCUGUAGGCAGAAGAUUGGAGGUAGGGAAAGCAGCUAAGAGACUGUUGUGAUAUCACACAUGAAUGAGAAGUUUGUUUUGAGGGGAAUUCAGCUAAUGAAGAUUCGGUCCAGGAGGUGAACCUUUUAUGAUAGUAUUUGUAAUACUUGUUUCCCAGUUUGCAAAGGACAAUCAAGAGGGUGUGGAAAUAUGCUCAUUCCUUUAAUAAAGUCAGUCUCACUGAGCACCUCCUAGAGUUGGGGCUGGAACCCCGCUCCCUCCUCUGUCCCAUUCUUGGCAGAGCACUAGAACUUGUCCUCCUUGCUGCAGUCUCAGCGUCUUCGACCAGUCUCUAGUCUGGUCCUCCUGUGCAACCAUGACUGAUAGUGUGGGGAGGAAGGGAAUGCUGCCGGUUACCUGGGCUCAUGGUGACCACUUCUAUCAUUGCUGCCCCCUCUCAACUACAGCUGCCUCAGAUCGAGCCCACCAGGACUACUUGACAGUCUCCAGCUUCUUAUAUGAGGUGAACUCCAAACUGUAAAACCCACCAAUUAAGCACCUUUUCUUCCCUUAUCUCCACAACGUUGCCUAGGAAAGUCCACCCACCUUCCCCCCAUUACUCUCCCUUGGAGAUGAUGUCACCCUAAGCCACACACCCACACACCAAGCUCCUGGGGCUAAUAACAGCCAUUAACAUUCCAGACUUACAGGUGAAAACAGUUCAGUUACCUCCUCAUGGUUCUGCACCUCCUUGGCUUUCGCAUCACUCCAUC
Molecule: long non-coding RNA, 1052 nt
Organism: Vicugna pacos (alpaca)
Lineage: Eukaryota; Metazoa; Chordata; Mammalia; Artiodactyla; Camelidae
Source: RefSeq, a predicted model, not a curated record